GAGUAGAGAGCUAGAGGGUGAGAAGCGCUGGGCCGGACCAGAACUGUCUUAGCUUUUCCCUCUGCGGCUGCUCUGGUUGGUUACUUUGAGCCUGCCUCCUCAGCGCCGCAGGAGAGACUUAACAGCAAAAAUGACUGUGUCCUGAGUUCAGCCCCCACUGCUCUGGGAGCUUCCCCCUGGUUUCUGCACCUGAAGAAUGUCAUCCCAGCCGAAGGUUCUUAGGAGCGGGGAGCGACAAAGAAAAACAAAGAAAAGCAGACCUGAAAAUUGGGACCUGGGAGAAAUAGACGAGUGCUCUAAACCAGUAUCAUGGCUCCAGUUCCUCUGACAAGGAUUCACAUGGGAUCCCGAACCACUCAAAAGGACAAAACAAGGAAAUAGCAAUGAAAUUGGAUUCAGUGAAUGGGAUGGACCUCAUGCUGUUCUCUAAAACAUGAACAGAUUUCUGAUCUUCUGGACCAGGAAAUGAAGUCAGCACUAAAAGAGAAGACACCAUCAUCCAGCUCCUAGAAUUUCAAUCUAAGAAUCUGUAAUAAAAGCAGUAUUUCCCUCUACAGAAAUAUAGCAAAGUAAUAUGUUUACAUCUUAAUGAAAUGUACUCUUGAUAUGAUAAAACACAGUGUGAUAUUUAUAGCACUGGUGGUGCUGGCUGUCUGGUCCCUGAACCUCACCAAUUUUGGAGAAUCCCCUUGCUGUGGUUCUUGGCAGGUAGAGCAUUUGGCUUGAUGCUCCCAAGUUUCUUAUGGAAGGCACAUCUCUGGGGCUGACACUCUGUGUGGAUAAAUCUUCAUCUCAUUAGUCCAAGGGCCUUUUUUCCAUGAGCAUUUUCACAGAAGCUGUUUCACAAAUCAACUCCAUUGGUGUUGAAGACCUAAUAAAGGGCUCUCUAUCAAGUAAUUACAGCACUGAGGUUUGAAUUUCUGCUCCACAACCUUCUAGUUGUUUAAUUUAUGUCGGGAAGAGACUGGUCGAUAAGCAGGCCUGAAUCUGAGGAAGAAUUGGGGCCAAGGAGGUGGCCUGUGAGGUCAGGAGAUUGGUUACAUAAAAGAAGAAUGAGUAAAUAGUUAAAUAUAUCGAGGAUAAUGGAAGCCAGAUUUUUUUACCAAGAGAGAAGGAAGUUACAAAUAGAAUAAGGGUGAAGACUAGAAUGAACCCUGUAGUGUUGGAGUAGAGCUAGAGAUAUUGGAGUAAAUUCAUGAGUUUUAAUAUAAAUGGACAGAAAGAUAUAUAAAUAGAUAUAGGGGUGUGUGUGUGGGUGUGUGUGUGUGAAUUUCCUAGCUCUGUCUGCUAAAAUGGCCUAAAAACAGUAACACUCCAGUAGCAAUGACCACACCUAGCAUCCAGAUCUUGGUUCUAAAAAUCCAUUCUCAAGUAAAAGGAACCAGAGCUCAGUGGAGAAACAGCUGAUGAAAUAACUGCAAUGAUUGUGGCAGAAAAAAUACCAGAAGAGCCUGAAAUGUCUUGCACCCCAAAAAAGUACUCUCAGAAUGAUACAGAGAUGCCAAAAGGACACAGGAGCUGGCUUGAAGGGUAUCCCAAUGGCUGGAACUGGAGCAUUUUCAGCAUCAAAACCAAUAGUGAUAGUAAUGGCUUAUAAUCUAUUGGAUAAAAUAGAAAUCCACAAGUCCACGCUGAUGGAAAUAAGCCAAUAAGAAGGGAGAGGAAAAAACUUCUGUACAAUAGAAUCCCAACUAGUAAAUGGAAAACAAAUAUUGUAAUUAGAAAAACUACAAUUUGGCAAUCAUCCUAGUAACAGUUUAUGCAAGAAUCAUAAAAUAAGCAAGUGAAACUUUGUUAAGAAACCAGAUGUUUACAUAGCCUCAAAGUGUCUUCCUACAAAAUACUUAUUAAUUCAAAGGGAAAGAGAAUAACUUAACAGUGGAGAAAUUAUCACCUUAAGCCAUCAAAGUUAACAUCACCAACAAAAAAACAAUAUUAUGUGCCUUUUAAUAUGAUACAUUUGGAAGAAUACAAUUUCACUUCUAUCACAUUCCUGCCAAAAAAAAAUGUAUCACCUGAAUCUAAUCAAGAAGAAACAUCAGACAA
Molecule: long non-coding RNA, 2046 nt
Organism: Homo sapiens (human)
Lineage: Eukaryota; Metazoa; Chordata; Mammalia; Primates; Hominidae
Gene: NCK1-DT
Product: NCK1 divergent transcript
Source: Ensembl